UCCGUAGGUGGAUAAUUAAGUCAGAGGUGAAAUCCUGCAGCUCAACUGUAGAAUUGCCUUUGAUACUGGUUAUCUUGAGUCAUUAUGAAGUGGCUAGAAUGUGUAGUGUAGCGGUGAAAUGCAUAGAUAUUACACAGAAUACCGAUUGCGAAGGCAGAUCACUAAUAAUGUACUGACACUGAGGGACGAAAGCGUGGGGAGCGAACAGGAUUAGAUACCCUGGUAGUCC
Molecule: ribosomal RNA, 229 nt
Filed under: uncultured bacterium
Lineage: Bacteria
Description: partial 16S ribosomal RNA
Rfam family: Bacterial small subunit ribosomal RNA
Source: RNAcentral